ACACUAGCGCCGCCAAGCGGUUGAAUUUCAAACCAAAUUUGCAUCCAUUACUAUUCUAACAAGAUUGAAUAUUGAAUAAGUGGCUAUUCUGUCGAAUUAAUGUCAAUUUUGUCUUAAGCCAUCAGUUUUUCGAUUUGGAAGUUAUUAACUCAUGUUUGGGUUAAGCCAGACGAGCGUGUACAUGUUUGUUUACAUUAUUCGUAGUCGGAAGCAAAGUGCCACCUCGAUAAAAAAACAAAUUUCGCUCGAGAUUUCGUUGUUUUUCGGUGAAAACAGUCCGGGAUAAUAUGUUGUGUUGUGACCAGUGAUGUGAUGGAAUGUGGAUGCGAUGUUGGACCCGAAGAAGGGGCAGGAGAUUCGUCACGAAGAGGCACGGUCCGUGUCUGCAGCGCGUGGGGUGAUUUGGAGAGUGUCGGACGGAACUUUUCCUGUGUGUUGGCAGAAUUCGGUUCGAGGGCUUGUGUACUGGAAGCCUGAUUGCGGCAAUUGAUCCGGUCCUGUCCCUCCUUGUAGGGAGAGGCUGGACCUAGUCGGUAAUCGACAACGCCCAAGCUCCCCCGGUCGGCGCGGCGUCAGACGACGAAAAAUCCCGCUGGUCGCCUUCGGGUGUAGCCACGCCGGUACAACUGGGGGGGCCUUCAUCGGCGAAAGCCGGUUUGGGCAUUGGGCGUUGGCAGCUGGCAGGGCCGGAAGGUAGGUUUAUUGUUUAAUCCCAUUAGUGCUUGUAUCUUUUUAGGUGAAUUCAGCUACAGCUUAGGUCCACUUGCCUGCCUUUCAAAAGCAAAUUGUAACGUGGUAACUACUGGACUUGGACUGGAUGUUUGGCCAGGUCAUAUUUUUGUAAAACUGAACUAAACCACACACGGGAGCUCAUAAUUCAUCAACCCUAGGGUAACCGAUGGACAAUCUAACCAUUUCGAUUACAUACAUCAUGCCGGGAAGGUCUUGCAUAAGAAAACAACACUCCGCACAUUGAAUGACCAUCGUAGAAACCCACCUAAAAUAAAUUUUAAAAUCGGAAUCCUGAUUUACAAGACUACAGUGUCGACCCACCCAUCAAAC
Molecule: long non-coding RNA, 1062 nt
Organism: Armigeres subalbatus
Lineage: Eukaryota; Metazoa; Arthropoda; Insecta; Diptera; Culicidae
Exons: 3
Source: RefSeq, a predicted model, not a curated record